RNAcentral lists this small RNA (165 nucleotides) under Sphenodon punctatus (tuatara). Its description in RNAcentral is "TUC338 (ENSSPUG00000018220.1)". The record is from RNAcentral. Lineage: Eukaryota; Metazoa; Chordata; Lepidosauria; Sphenodontia; Sphenodontidae.
UUCAGAGUCCUAGAGAAUGAAGCCCACUGUUUAUCCACAGAACAAGUACAGCAGGAACACUGACACUACACGCGCCUCACACUGCCCUGCCAAUCUGCACCACCUCUGACCUUUUAGCUCAACUUCCAUGCUCAUUCAAUUUAUUACCUUGCUUCUAAGACUGCU